This is a long non-coding RNA of Morone saxatilis (striped sea-bass), 416 nucleotides long. RefSeq lists it as uncharacterized. The transcript is spliced from 3 exons. The record is from RefSeq and is a predicted model, not a curated record. NCBI's taxonomy places the organism in Eukaryota, Metazoa, Chordata, Actinopteri, Moronidae.
GCCAAUAAAAACAACACACACAUACACACAAAGUAGAUGCAUGUGCACGCGAACAUACAGUCAGUAGAGACAACUCACUAAUUAGGACUUUAAGAAUAAAACAAAUGAAACACACACUUAACUCAGACAAAAGUUUGUCUCACGUUAUAGCCAUAUAGCGUUUACUUACACCGUAUUUUGCAGGUAUUCGGAUUCAUAUACUUCCCCAUGCUACCACUCUCCAAUGCAUCAGUCAUUGGCCUCUGAGCAGUUACAGUAGCUGGGAGCUGGAGGUUCAAGUGUGUGACAGUUGCUGUGGAAGAGACCCUGGCUCCUGUAAAGAUGGCUGACGUGGUGCAGCCAGACCCCAACAGCCUGCAGAUACCUGGUGAUCAUUUAUCAGCCCCUUCGUCACCUGACUAGGAAAUGACUGCAGC